This 70-nucleotide transfer RNA is filed under the name Rattus norvegicus (Norway rat). It matches the Rfam family "tRNA". Rfam says of the family: Transfer RNA (tRNA) molecules are approximately 80 nucleotides in length. The record is from Rfam by way of RNAcentral. Lineage: Eukaryota; Metazoa; Chordata; Mammalia; Rodentia; Muridae.
GGGGAUUUGGCUCAGUUGGUAGAGCGCUUGCCUAGCAAGCACAAGGCCCUGGGUUCGGUCCCCAGCUCCG